UACGAAGGGGGCUAGCGUUGUUCGGAAUUACUGGGCGUAAAGCGCACGUAGGCGGAAUGUUAAGUCAGGGGUGAAAUCCCGGGGCUCAACCCCGGAACUGCCUUUGAUACUGGCGACCUUGAGUCCGGGAGAGGUGAGUGGAACUGCGAGUGUAGAGGUGAAAUUCGUAGAUAUUCGCAAGAACACCAGUGGCGAAGGCGGCUCACUGGCCCGGUACUGACGCUGAGGUGCGAAAGCGUGGGGAGCAAACAGG
This 253-nucleotide ribosomal RNA is filed under the name uncultured bacterium. RNAcentral describes it as "partial 16S ribosomal RNA". It matches the Rfam family "Bacterial small subunit ribosomal RNA", at positions 524 to 776 of the family's 1533-position model. The record is from RNAcentral.